This 308-nucleotide ribosomal RNA is filed under the name uncultured soil bacterium. RNAcentral describes it as "bacterial SSU rRNA". It matches the Rfam family "Bacterial small subunit ribosomal RNA", at positions 26 to 363 of the family's 1533-position model. The record is from RNAcentral.
AGAACGAACGCUGGCGGCAUGCCUAAUACAUGCAAGUCGAACGAGACCUUCGGGUCUAGUGGCGCACGGGUGCGUAACGCGUGGGAAUCUACCCUUGGGUUCGGAAUAACAGUUGGAAACGACUGCUAAUACCGGAUGAUGACGAAAGUCCAAAGAUUUAUCGCCCAGGGAUGAGCCCGCGUAGGAUUAGCUAGUUGGUGAGGUAAAGGCUCACCAAGGCUACGAUCCUUAGCUGGUCUGAGAGGAUGAUCAGCCACACUGGGACUGAGACACGGCCCAGACUCCUACGGGAGCAGCAGUAGGGAAUA